GGAAGCGUGGCCGAGCGGUUUAAGGCUGCAGUCUUGAAAACUGCCGAGGGGGCAACUCCUCCGUGAGUUCGAAUCUCACCGCUUCCACCA
RNAcentral lists this transfer RNA (90 nucleotides) under Rhizobacter sp. RNAcentral describes it as "tRNA-Ser". It matches the Rfam family "tRNA". From Rfam's summary of the family: Transfer RNA (tRNA) molecules are approximately 80 nucleotides in length. Lineage: Bacteria; Pseudomonadati; Pseudomonadota; Betaproteobacteria; Burkholderiales; Sphaerotilaceae. The record is from RNAcentral. RNAcentral also lists the same sequence under 1 other name.